Molecule: ribosomal RNA, 1112 nt
Filed under: Salmonella enterica subsp. enterica serovar Lubbock
Lineage: Bacteria; Pseudomonadati; Pseudomonadota; Gammaproteobacteria; Enterobacterales; Enterobacteriaceae
Description: partial 23S ribosomal RNA
Rfam family: Bacterial large subunit ribosomal RNA
Source: RNAcentral
UGCUGGAGGUAUCAGAAGUGCGAAUGCUGACAUAAGUAACGAUAAAGCGGGUGAAAAGCCCGCUCGCCGGAAGACCAAGGGUUCCUGUCCAACGUUAAUCGGGGCAGGGUGAGUCGACCCCUAAGGCGAGGCCGAAAGGCGUAGUCGAUGGGAAACGGGUUAAUAUUCCCGUACUUGGUGUUACUGCGAAGGGGGGACGGAGAAGGCUAUGUUGGCCGGGCGACGGUUGUCCCGGUUUAAGCGUGUAGGUGUGUGUUCCAGGUAAAUCCGGUUCACUUUAACACUGAGGCGUGACGACGAGGCACUACGGUGCUGAAGCAACAAAUGCCCUGCUUCCAGGAAAAGCCUCUAAGCAUCAGGUAACAUCAAAUCGUACCCCAAACCGACACAGGUGGUCAGGUAGAGAAUACCAAGGCGCUUGAGAGAACUCGGGUGAAGGAACUAGGCAAAAUGGUGCCGUAACUUCGGGAGAAGGCACGCUGACACGUAGGUGAAGUGAUUUACUCAUGGAGCUGAAGUCAGUCGAAGAUACCAGCUGGCUGCAACUGUUUAUUAAAAACACAGCACUGUGCAAACACGAAAGUGGACGUAUACGGUGUGACGCCUGCCCGGUGCCGGAAGGUUAAUUGAUGGGGUCAGCGCAAGCGAAGCUCCUGAUCGAAGCCCCGGUAAACGGCGGCCGUAACUAUAACGGUCCUAAGGUAGCGAAAUUCCUUGUCGGGUAAGUUCCGACCUGCACGAAUGGCGUAAUGAUGGCCAGGCUGUCUCCACCCGAGACUCAGUGAAAUUGAACUCGCUGUGAAGAUGCAGUGUACCCGCGGCAAGACGGAAAGACCCCGUGAACCUUUACUAUAGCUUGACACUGAACAUUGAGCCUUGAUGUGUAGGAUAGGUGGGAGGCUUUGAAGUGUGGACGCCAGUCUGCAUGGAGCCGACCUUGAAAUACCACCCUUUAAUGUUUGAUGUUCUAACGUGGACCCGUAAUCCGGGUUGCGGACAGUGUCUGGUGGGUAGUUUGACUGGGGCGGUCUCCUCCUAAAGAGUAACGGAGGAGCACGAAGGUUGGCUAAUCCUGGUCGGACAUCAGGAGGUUAGUGCAAUGGCAUAAGCCA